UACGUAGGCAGCGAGCGUUGUUCGGAAUUACUGGGCGUAAAGAGUGUGUAGGCGGUGUUCCAAGUCUGGUGUGAAAUCUCCCGGCUCAACUGGGAGGGUGCGCCGAAUACUGAAUGACUUCGAGUGCGGGAGAGGAGAGUGGAAUUCCUGGUGUAGCGGUGAAAUGCGUAGAUAUCAGGAGGAACACCGGUGGUGUAGACGGCUCUCUGGACCGUAACUGACGCUGAGACACGAAAGCGUAGGUAGCAAACAGG
RNAcentral lists this ribosomal RNA (254 nucleotides) under uncultured bacterium. RNAcentral describes it as "partial 16S ribosomal RNA". It matches the Rfam family "Bacterial small subunit ribosomal RNA", at positions 524 to 776 of the family's 1533-position model. The record is from RNAcentral.